Molecule: unclassified non-coding RNA, 304 nt
Filed under: Hevea brasiliensis (rubber tree)
Lineage: Eukaryota; Viridiplantae; Streptophyta; Magnoliopsida; Malpighiales; Euphorbiaceae
Source: RNAcentral
CGGGCGGCAAUGAGGAGAGUUAUGAAUGCUGAAGAGGAAAUGAUUUCGUUUCCAACAUUGAUUAAUGUGAAGAGUGAUGAAAAGAAGAAAAAAGCUGUUUAUGAUCUUAAAGAGGCCAUUCGGCUUGUAAAGGCUAAUGCCAAGAAGAAAUUUGAUGAAACUCUGGAAGCUCAUGUUGUUUUGACUCCUGAUAUGCGUCGAAGUGAUCUGAAACUUGAAGGUACAGUGGCUGUUCCUCAUGGGUUUGGAAAGGUAUAUCGGAUUGCUGUUUUUGCUGAAGGAGCUGCUGCUGAUGAAGCCCGAG